Molecule: ribosomal RNA, 444 nt
Filed under: uncultured bacterium
Lineage: Bacteria
Description: bacterial SSU rRNA
Rfam family: Bacterial small subunit ribosomal RNA
Source: RNAcentral
GCAAGUCGAACGAUGAAAGCGGAGCUUGCUCCUGCUGGAUUAGUGGGCCGAAACGGGUGAGUAACACGUGAGUAACCUGCCCUUGACUCUGGGAUAAGCGUUGGAAACGACGUCUAAUACCGGAUACGACCUUCGGAGGCAUCUCCUGGGGGUGGAAAGAAUUUCGGUCAAGGAUGGACUCGCGGCCUAUCAGCUAGUUGGUGAGGUAAUGGGCUCACCAAGGCGACGACGGGUAGCCGGCCUGAGAGGGUGACCGGCCACACUGGGACUGAGACACGGCCCAGACUCCUACGGGAGGCAGCAGUGGGGAAUAUUGCACAAUGGGCGCAAGCCUGAUGCAGCAACGCCGCGUGAGGGACGACGGCCUUCGGGUUGUAAACCUCUUUUAGUAGGGAAGAAGCGAAAGUGACGGUACCUGCAGAAAAAGCACCGGCUAACUACGUG